Pteropus alecto (black flying fox) is the source of this 240-nucleotide long non-coding RNA. RefSeq lists it as uncharacterized. NCBI's taxonomy places the organism in Eukaryota, Metazoa, Chordata, Mammalia, Chiroptera, Pteropodidae. The transcript is spliced from 3 exons. The record is from RefSeq and is a predicted model, not a curated record.
UUGAGAAAGAGAGCGAGACACACACACAGAGAAUAUGAGAAUCCUCUGAGUCUGCAAUACCCAGGCAUCCAGCAGCUGAGCUAGAGGUGAUGAAGACAUUCUCUGCAUCAUGAGAAGUGGACCGAUGACCUCAUAUUUUCAGCACAGAAGGACUAUUGCAGAGUCAAAAAUAUCAACUGAGCACUCACUUGACACUGUAUGCUGCGUUUGAGCUGAGAGAUGGCAAUGCAAAGAAAGCCC